This 29-nucleotide non-coding RNA is filed under the name Homo sapiens (human). Lineage: Eukaryota; Metazoa; Chordata; Mammalia; Primates; Hominidae. The record is from RNAcentral.
UAUCUCUUGUUGCAAGAAAUGGUCCAUCU